RNAcentral lists this ribosomal RNA (498 nucleotides) under uncultured bacterium. RNAcentral describes it as "bacterial SSU rRNA". It matches the Rfam family "Bacterial small subunit ribosomal RNA", at positions 16 to 507 of the family's 1533-position model. The record is from RNAcentral.
AUCCUGGCUCAGGAUGAACGCUAGCUACAGGCUUAACACAUGCAAGUCGAGGGGCAUCACAGUGUAGCAAUACACGGGUGGCGACCGGCGCACGGGUGCGUAACACGUAUCCAAUCUGCCCGUUACUCGGGGAUAGCCUUCUGAAAGGAAGAUUAAUACCCGAUGGCAUGCAUUUCCGGCAUCGGAGAUGCAUUAAAGAUUUAUCGGUGACGGAUGAGGAUGCGUACGAUUAGCUUGUUGGCGGGGUAACGGCCCACCAAGGCUACGAUCGUUAGGGGUUCUGAGAGGAAGGUCCCCCACACUGGAACUGAGACACGGUCCAGACUCCUACGGGAGGCAGCAGUGAGGAAUAUUGGUCAAUGGGCGGGAGCCUGAACCAGCCAAGUAGCGUGAAGGAUGACUGCCCUACGGGUUGUAAACUUCUUUUGUUUGGGAAUAAAAGACGCUACGUGUAGCGUUCUGCAUGUACCUUACGAAUAAGCAUCGGCUAAUUCCGUG